This 440-nucleotide ribosomal RNA is filed under the name uncultured bacterium. Its description in RNAcentral is "partial 16S ribosomal RNA". It matches the Rfam family "Bacterial small subunit ribosomal RNA", at positions 338 to 795 of the family's 1533-position model. The record is from RNAcentral.
CCUACGGGAGGCAGCAGUGGGGGAUAUUGCACAAUGGGGGGAACCCUGAUGCAGCGACGCCGCGUGGGUGAAGAAGCGCCUCGGCGCGUAAAGCUCUGUCAGCAGGGAAGAAAAUGACGGUACCUGAAGAAGAAGCCCGGGCUAACUACGUGCCAGCAGCCGCGGUAAUACGUAGGGGGCAAGCGUUAUCCGGAUUUACGGGGUGUAAAGGGGGCGCAGACGGCGAUGAAAGCCAGGUGUGAAAGCCCGGGGCCCAACCCCGGGACUGCACUUAAAACUGCGUGGCUGGAGGGCAGGAGGGGAAAGCGGAAUUCCUAGUGUAGCGGUGAAAUGCGUAGAUAUCAGGAGGAACACCAGUGGCGAAGGCGACCUGCUGGACUGCACCUGACGUUGAGGCGCGAAAGCAUGGGGAGCGAACAGGAUUAGAUACCCGAGUAGUC